CCUACGGGGGGCACCAGUGGGGAAUAUUGGACAAUGGGCGCAAGCCUGAUCCAGCCAUGCCGCGUGAGUGAUGAAGGCCCUAGGGUUGUAAAGCUCUUUUGUACGGGAAGAUAAUGACGGUACCGUAAGAAUAAGCCCCGGCUAACUUCGUGCCAGCAGCCGCGGUAAUACGAAGGGGGCUAGCGUUGCUCGGAAUCACUGGGCGUAAAGGGUGCGUAGGCGGGUUUUUAAGUCAGAGGUGAAAUCCUGGAGCUCAACUCCAGAACUGCCUUUGAUACUGGGAAUCUUGAGUAUGGAAGAGGUGAGUGGAACUGCGAGUGUAGAGGUGAAAUUCGUAGAUAUUCGCAAGAACACCAGUGGCGAAGGCGGCUCACUGGUCCAUAACUGACGCUGAGGCACGAAAGCGUGGGGAGCAAACAGGAUUAGAACCCCGGUAGUCC
RNAcentral lists this ribosomal RNA (440 nucleotides) under uncultured Alphaproteobacteria bacterium. Its description in RNAcentral is "bacterial SSU rRNA". It matches the Rfam family "Bacterial small subunit ribosomal RNA", at positions 338 to 796 of the family's 1533-position model. The record is from RNAcentral. Lineage: Bacteria; Pseudomonadati; Pseudomonadota; Alphaproteobacteria.